RNAcentral lists this ribosomal RNA (727 nucleotides) under uncultured Bacteroidota bacterium. Its description in RNAcentral is "bacterial SSU rRNA". It matches the Rfam family "Bacterial small subunit ribosomal RNA", at positions 138 to 866 of the family's 1533-position model. Lineage: Bacteria; Pseudomonadati; Bacteroidota. The record is from RNAcentral.
AAGGAAUAGCCCAGAGAAAUUUGGAUUAAUACCUUAUGAUAAUAUUUAUUCGCAUGUUUAAAUAUUUAAAACUCCGGUGGAAGAAGAUGGGCAUGCGUAACAUUAGUUUGUUGGUGAGGUAAUGGCUCACCAAGACUACGAUGUUUAGGGGGUCUGAGAGGAUGAUCCCCCACACUGGUACUGAGACACGGACCAGACUCCUACGGGAGGCAGCAGUGAGGAAUAUUGGUCAAUGGACGAAAGUCUGAACCAGCCAUGCCGCGUGAAGGAUGACGGCCCUACGGGUUGUAAACUUCUUUUGUAUAGGAAGAAACCCCUCUACGUGUAGAGGGUUGACGGUACUAUUCGAAUAAGCACCGGCUAACUCCGUGCCAGCAGCCGCGGUAAUACGGAGGGUGCGAGCGUUAUCCGGAAUUAUUGGGUUUAAAGGGUGCGUAGGCGGAAAUUUAAGUCAGUGGUGAAGGCCUGCAGCUUAACUGUAGAAUUGCCAUUGAUACUGGAUUUCUUGAAUCUAAUAGAAGUAGGCGGAAUAUGACAUGUAGCGGUGAAAUGCUUAGAUAUGUCAUAGAACACCGAUAGCGAAGGCAGCUUACUAUGUUAGUAUUGACGCUAAUGCACGAAAGCGUGGGGAGCGAACAGGAUUAGAUACCCUGGUAGUCCACGCCGUAAACGAUGAUUACUCGCUAUUGGCGAUACACUGUCAGUGGCUAAGCGAAAGUGAUAAGUA